CUCCCUCUUUGAUCACACUGGCUGGAGUGGCCGGGCUUGGAGACUCUGCGGAGAAGGGCUGGGUCUCUUUAGGAAGCCCAGUGCAGGGGGACCCACCCAGCUCCACACAAUGAAAAUCAAGUUGUCAAGCCUUUGAGGUGGCUGUGAAGAUUUAUUCUUCCUGGGCAAAUUGGUCAGGAGAUUAACUGGAAUGGCCCGUGUGAUGUGAAUUCAUCUAGGGGCACAAGAGAAUCUCUUUUCAUGGAGAUGGCAACAGCACAUGAGUUCCUAAGCUAGCCCAAUGGAGAAUGUGAGACGUCCAUAGCUCAAACCUCCCCAUUGCCUCAGCCAACACCCCCAGACUCAGAGCUGCCUAAGUGACUUGUGGGGACCACAGACACUUGAUGGAGGCCGGCCAAGACAAGAGGAAGCAUUCACUUGAACCCAGCCUCAACUGCUGACCUGCAGAAUCGUAAGUUCAAUAAAUGGUUAUACUUUUAAAUCAUUAGGUUUGGGUGUGGCUUGUUAGGCAGCAAUAGCUAACUGAUAAAAUAAGUUUUAGGAAACUUUACAAUAAUUUCCAUCACACAGUUUGUGCAAGGAGUCAGGAGACUCCUGAGCAAUGAUUCUUGUGAGAACAAUGUUAGCUGAAAUUAACCAACUAUGCCAACUGUGCUUUCUCUAUGCAGCUGUCAACCUCUGCUGUUUUACUGUAAUAUAAUUAUCAAAUUAAUUUGGUUCAAACCAAAGACAGGGAGGUUUAUAAGUAGCAAGGAUUUGUCUGUUUUGGUAGAAAUGAGGAAAAUGUUAUUGUAAUUGUGUGAUAAUGCUAUUUAUUGGCAGGAGUGAUUUUGGAGCAAGAAGCUCCAAGAUGGAUUUUUAUUCUAUUACAAAAAUAAUCACAGAAUAAUCUGAUUAAUAAUCCUGCUUCUGAAUCCAAGAGCACAAAUUUAAUUAAAAUGUAUAAAAUAGGACACACGAACAAGUCACUAUUUUCCUCACUCUUCAAUGUGUGUAUGUGUGUCUCAUAGUGCAUUUGCCUUAUUAUCAGUCUUGAUAAACUCUGAGGGAGAAAGCCACUUGAUUUUGUCGUGAAAUGUCUCCAACACAUCUUCCAGAGUGUGGUGUCUGCUUUCGGGCCUCCGUGUCUGAGUGCCAUUUGCUAAAGGCCUUUCCCCAUAAGGAGCUGGGUCACUUAUUAGAUGUGGUCGGAGGAGGCAAGAGAGCGUGAGAAACUUGGAGUGGAGGUGGGGGUCCUGUUCCAUGGUGAUACAUUCUGGGUUAUGCCCUUUUAAUGAUAUCUGUAUAUGUUUUCUUUCUUUGAAAAUACAUGUGUGUGUGUGUGUGUGUGUGUGUAUAAUAUCUACAGUGUCAGAAUCCUAAAGUUGGGAAAUUGGAAUUUUAAAAAAUAUAUUAAACUUUUGAUUUUAAAACACCAUUUAUUUGCUAAGUUCCUGAAAUAUCCAUUUUCAGUACUUGAAGAGGUCUGUGCUUCUGAGAAGUGCAUUGGUUUCCUGGCUGGGGGUGUAGUGGUUCUCCCUCUGUCCACUUCUGCCAGCAUCAUUCUCCAUUUUCCCUGAAGUGGAGUUUGAGGGGACCACCUGCCAUGGAUCGCGGGUCCAUGGAAAUAGUUCAGAGGCUCCUGGGCAAGACAGUGUCCUACAGUUGAUUUGAGACUGAUUUGGAAACUGGAAGACUUGGCUGUAAUUCCUGCCCUGCCGCUAUGUGCUGAGUGAUCUUGGGGGAGCCGUUCAGCCACCAACUAGUUCUCAUUUCAUUUAGGAAAGAAAGAAAUUGGAGUUGACAACCUUUUUAGUCCCUUUAUAGCUAUUUAUUAUGACAGUAACUGGGCAAUGUUGGAAGACGGUAUCCAUUGACAUGCCCACCAUAUAUAUAAUUUUCAUUUGUUUUGUUUCAAGAGCUAAAAUAUUAGAAUAAAAAACUUUAAGGCAUUCCCCCCAUCUGACUGUAAAAGCCAUGCUUUGAACUAAAAAGUCCUUAAUGCCCUUGCAAUUGAAUAUUGAAUAUGAAGUAAUUUAGAAGUAUUUCCAUUUAAUAUGUUUAACGUGAAAAUUUUGAUGAUUAAAUGGGUAUGUUUAAAUUUUGGAGGGAGUUUUUAUUCAUAUGAACUUGGAAUAAUGCAUGUUGAUUCCCUGGUUCUGGAACUCCUUACUGGAGGAGUGAUAGAUCUUUUAGCAACUGCAUUAAGCCGUCUCUACAAAAACAUAUUCCAAUGCAAAAAUUUGGUUAAGGAGUUUUAUUGUUAUCCAGAGGAUUCUACCCUUUUAAGGGAAGAAAGCCUUUUUUUGGGAAAAACAUUUUUUGAUCAACUUUGGCUAAGGCUUAAGCAGUGAUUUAUGGAUUUCAGUUGACCUACUUGUUAUGGGUCUAGACAAAAUGAGCUCUCUAUUGAUAAGAUAUCUCCUGUGAUUAUACUUUAUCUUUGGAACGGGAUCUAAGGAUGGAAGAAAGAGAGAUGAUGGGAAAUAUAUAUCUUCUUUUCCCUGAGAAAGCUUUGGAGAAAGGCAUCCUUUAGCACAUAGUUCCUCCCUCAUUUCAUGGGUAGUAAACUCUGAUGUGUCACAUCCUGAAGUUUGUGUGAUCAGAUGUGCCUUCUCUGGCGUAAGGUACUUAUAAGGACAAUAAAGCCAGGAACUAACCCUUUACAUGGCAUGAUGUUUUGCUCUGUUAUACUGAUAUGACUGUUGGGACAGGCUGGUUUAUGUGGCACAGUCUUAGAGUAUUUCUUAUUCGCACUGCUCACUACAUUCUCAAUCUAAAGUUUACCAAUCUUGACAGUGACUACCUAGUAGGUAUUUGCUGGUGUUCUGUUUGCUUUGUUUUGUGUUGGGGUGUGUGUGUGUGUGUGUGUGUGUGUGUCUGCAUGCACUUUUUAUUGAAGUGUGGUCCAAAUGCAGACGAGUGAACAUAUCAUAAACAGACAGCUUGAUGCAUUUUACAAACGGUAUAACCAACACCCAGAUCAAGGAACAACCCUUUUCCAGCUCCCCCAGGACUCUGCCUCCCACUUCUUUCCUGACCCAGUGUAACCUCCCUCUUGACUUCUAACUGCAUAGUUUAAUUUUACUUAUUUUUGUCUUUAUAUAACAUGGGCUAUUACAGUCUUACUCUUUAGAGUCUUCCUUCUUUCACUCAACAUUAUGCUCAUGGGAUUCUUCCAUAUCAUUCUCUUCGCUGUUUUGUAGUUCAUUGUAUGAAGAAUAUAUGUGACUCAUUUAUCCAUAUUCCACUGUUGGGGCGCCUUUGGGCAGUUUUCCCUUUGGGGCUAUUACCAAUAAUGCUGCUCUGAACAUUCUAGUGCAUAUCUUCCAGGGAACGUAGGUCCACUUCUCUUGGGAAUAUGCCUAAAUGUGAAAUUUGUGGGUCAUAGGUAUAUAUAUUUCUUCCUAAGUAUAAUGUUAGAGUUGGGUAUGCAGAAUUGACUAAAUUAUGAAACCAAACAUUCAUUUGUUUGACACCUGAAGUAAGUACUGUUUGAGGAAGAGAGAAGAAUCUGAAAAAAACAUGACAUUUUUACUCAUGGGUCUAUGUUCCAAGCUUUUGAGCUAACAUUGUCUGUUCUUCUCUCUCAGUGGUGGGAUUUUGAAAGUGUGCUGACACAGCCACUUUCUGCGGGGCUGCUCCUGGCCCAGGGUUCUUGCCACAUAAACUCUUCUAGCCCAGACCUUGUGAGUGUUACGGGAAGUGGCCUUGGUUCUUUUGUGUUCGUUUCCGGCCCCAGGUUGCUCAUCGCUCCCUGUGCCCAUUUGAGGUAACACACCGACAGUUGUCAAGAUGAAUCAUGGCUUUUUCUCAGACACACAGGGAGACCGAGUUUGUGACUAAUAGACAAAUCCUCUGGACAUGGGCUGAGCCACCAAGAGCCACCCUUGUCCAGGCAAGUUCAGGCCUGAGGUGCAGCUUCUGACAGACAGCAGGGAAAGCAAGCAUUGGCAGAACGGUUGUGUUAUUUGCAUCUCUGAUUUUGAAGACGCUUUGCUUUCUCUUAAUCCCCUCUAGCACCUCCAAAAAGUCGUAUUAGCCUAUUUGUGGCCCCUGAUGUGUGUCUGCCUGUUUAUGCAUGUGCUCAGAAUCCAGGGAGUGUGGCAUAAAUAUCAAAAACUUCAAGGGAGAUGUGGUCUCAAGGCCGAUGCCAGUGGGCAUUGAGCACUGCCUUCCUCCUGCCCAUUUUUUACUCUCUCUGACUCUCCCCGACUCUUCUGCACAGAGCUCAUUGGAUUAAAAUAGUGAAGGACUUGAAAGCUUUGAAGAGAAAUGAAAUGUGAGGAAGGACAGUGAGGAUCUUUGGGUGGGAGGUACUGAUUGUCUGUAAAUGUUUCAGGUAUCCUUAGAUUUUCUUGGAAAUCAUUUCCCAAUUGGCUCAAGUUGGCUUUCUCAAAUGUUACUCAAAAGUUGUGUGUGCAUGUGUGUUAGGAAGAUGUGACUACCAGGUUUUGCAGUCUCCUAUGUGCUGCCGAUUCUGCUGCAUCUUCAUGGAACCAGCCCUCAUAGUUGCAAAAGAACAUUCCGAUGUGUAUGUAUUGGGUGACAUUUUGAAUCCCUUGGACUAGGCCUUCUCAUUUUGCAAUGUCCUUUUGUAUUAGUUCCACUCAAAGAAAGACUUGCACCCUGUUGCUUGAAGGACAGAAGAGGUGGGGCUUUAACUUAAUUUCAGGAGACUGGACAAUUUCAUUCUCACCUGCUGAAAGCACCAUGUUUAUUGAAAAGGAACUUUCUGAGUGAGCUCAAUUAAGCCCAGACAGUUUAAUUUAACUUGUUCCUAAUUGUAAGGGGUUAUUUUUUCUGGCAUGGAGCCACUCAGAAUUUUAUCUGCAAGUUCUCCAGAUAAUCUCCAUCUUCGUACACAAUUUUCUCAGAGAUACUCAGAAUUCCGCUGCAGUGGGACAUUCCAGGUUCUCUCCUCUCCUCUCUCUCUCUGUCUCUCUAUUUCUCUAUCUCUUGAGUAUGGUUUAUAUCACUUGAGGUUGUAUAGAUUAGUAGAGGUUGGAAUAUCUACAGCUUGUCUCCAGAGGUCAAGGCUGUUUCCCUGUAGAACUGGAGGGAUCAGACAAUGGCAGGCCCCAUCCCUAUAUUCAGUGAUUCAUUCUUUGUCUCAAACUUCCGGCUGUUAUGGCCUGACCAUUGUUACAGAGAAGGGCCUAUUGCCCUCUCUUAUGGGAAAAGAGGAUAGAGAGUUAGGGAUGGAGGAGUUAACCUUGGGGAAAGAAGUAUCAACAGUCUCUACCCUAGUGCUUUCCAAGUGUGGCCCCUGGACCUGCAGCAUCAGCAUCACUUGAAAACAUCUUAGAUAAGCAAAUCUAUUCAAUCAGAAAUUCUGGGGCUGGGCCCAGCAAUCUGUGUUUUAACAAGAAAGUCUAAAGUUUGAGAUUAAUUUCUAUUAUAAAAAAUUACCUUUGCCAGUCUUAAAUAUUAAGAUACUAUAAGCUUUGGGAGAAAUGUGGCUGUUUUUUGUUUUGUUUUGUUUUUGCUAUUUGCUUUUGAUUUUCAGUGGUGGUAUUUUGUAUUGCAAAAUGAGAGAUAUAAAAUAAACACAUGAAAAUAUUAGGUUCAAUUUCCUUAACCCUGGGCUCUCUUCUCCAGGGGAAAGAUGAUAGGAGAAUUUUGGAGAAAUAUACGGAAUGUCUACCUUUUCACCUUGUAUGUAUGAAAAGAGUGUGAUUACAUUUCUUAUCUUAGGCUUGUAACCUAAAUGCCUUCUAGACAAGGCUCUCUCUCCCUCUUGACUUUUUUGAGUAAGUUUCCAACAGUCUCUUUUUGAUCUUUUCUUUUAUGUAGUUGCUUCAAAACGGUUUUUGGUUUUCUAUUUUCCUUCUUUUUCUUUCCAGAAAUUUCUCUUAGGGCAUCCUUAAUUAUGGUCUCCUCUUGAGUAUAUAUGACAACAGAGAACUCUGAGUUACAACUGUAAAUAGCAGAAUCCAGAAGAAGACUGUCUGACCAUAGCUAGGCCAACAAGUCAUGAUAGUUGUUCCACAGCUUGUCAAUCGUGGGAUAAAUAAAGGACCUGAGGGCUUACUUCCUAAACCAUCAAACUGACGUGUGAUUUGGUGUGAUGGGGAGGAGAGCAUGGAACAACAAAUCAUCGUGUGUUAAUUUCCAUGUCAAAUUGAUGGAAAGCUUUGACACCUGCCCAUUUGCUUAUUGAAUGAUCAACCCCCAUGUCCAUCAGGGUUCUAGUUAACAUACAAUAGUCUGCCUCUACCUUAAGUAUGUGCAAGCAUUUUUGAAAUGCAUGGUAUACUUCUCAAGUAAGUUAUAACAUUGGCUGGUGAGUUUUAGAUCUUCUUUUCUCCUUAAAGCAAGCAUAAAUUAGAAAUUUAGGACUUCCUGAUGUGGCACAGCAGUUAACAAAUCCAACUAGUAUCCAUGAGAAUGCAGGUUCUAUCCAUGAGAAUGCGGGUUUGAUUCCUGGCCUCACUCAGUGGGUUAAGGAUCCAGCAUUGCUGUGAGCUGUGGUGUAGGUCACAGAUGUGGCUUGAUCUCACAUUGCUAUGUCCGUGGUGUAAUCUGACAGUUAUAGCUCCUAUUGGACCCCUAGCCUGGGACUUCCAUAUGUCAUGAGUGUGGCCCUAAAAAGCCAAAAAGAAAGAAAAGGAAAAGAAACAAAACACUCCCCUCUCCUAUUAAAAAAAAAAAAAA
RNAcentral lists this long non-coding RNA (6636 nucleotides) under Sus scrofa (pig). RNAcentral's name for it is "lncRNA (ENSSSCG00065037679.1)". The record is from RNAcentral. Lineage: Eukaryota; Metazoa; Chordata; Mammalia; Artiodactyla; Suidae.